UACGUAGGUGGCGAGCGUUGUCCGGAUUUACUGGGCGUAAAGGGAGCGUAGGCGGAUUUUUAAGUGAGAUGUGAAAUACUCGGGCUCAACUUGAGUGCUGCAUUUCAAACUGGAAGUCUAGAGUGCAGGAGAGGAGAAUGGAAUUCCUAGUGUAGCGGUGAAAUGCGUAGAGAUUAGGAAGAACACCAGUGGCGAAGGCGAUUCUCUGGACUGUAACUGACGCUGAGGCUCGAAAGCAUGGGGAGCAAACAGG
Molecule: ribosomal RNA, 253 nt
Filed under: uncultured bacterium
Lineage: Bacteria
Description: partial 16S ribosomal RNA
Rfam family: Bacterial small subunit ribosomal RNA
Source: RNAcentral